Chelonus insularis is the source of this 572-nucleotide long non-coding RNA. RefSeq lists it as uncharacterized. The record is from RefSeq and is a predicted model, not a curated record. The transcript has 2 exons. NCBI's taxonomy places the organism in Eukaryota, Metazoa, Arthropoda, Insecta, Hymenoptera, Braconidae.
UUUUUUAAUGAUCAGACAUACUUCAGUACUAUUAUGUUCACCGAUAGUGCAUAAUUUUCUAACAGAAAGACAAUUUUGUCCUCUAUUUAUUAACUUCUCAGUUUUUUAAUUCGAAAAAAUGGCACUCAUUGGAACUCCAUUUAUUCCAGUGUACCUAGCAGCUGGAAUUUUUGUAAUAGCUUUAAGAUUCAAGCAUGAACAUCAACCAUUUUGGUGGAAUGCAGUUGAGAAACUCCCACCACCACCACCUGAGUGCAUUACAAGAUUGCCCAGCAAAUAAUUUAAAAUAUUAAAUAAAAUUGAUUAGUACUCGAUUCUAGUAUAAAUACAAUUCUCUAAAAAAUUGGAUCAACAUUGUAAAAAUACAUGUAUUUCUUGCUGCUAAAUUAUUUUAAACAUUAUGUAUUGUUUAACUGAAAAUGCUGUGCAUCAUCUCAGUGUAGAGUGAUGUGAACACUCAUUCAACAGAAUCGAAUUGUAAUAAGAAAAUUAUUUAUCAAAACAAUUAUUGUAUAAUUUCUGUCUUCUUUUGUUAUUAAAUAAAAUUGAAUAACUUUCAAAAAAUAUAUCAA